AACGUAAUGCCCCAUGAUUAUGGAAAUGCUACGCACUAGUGAUGCAAUAUGUUAUGCUUAUCUAAAUGAUGAAUGCAUAAAACACACGUCUCCUUCAGAGACAACACCGGGGAGCUCCAGGAACUGUGCUGAGGAUCUCAUUACUAAGUCAAUUUCCACCCUGCUGGGGAAAGACAACCUUUGCUGGGGAUGACCUCUAUCGAACCCGGACUUGCUUGGCG
RNAcentral lists this long non-coding RNA (221 nucleotides) under Lathyrus oleraceus (garden pea). Its description in RNAcentral is "Pisum sativum (pea) long non-coding RNA (PSAT_LNC001397)". Lineage: Eukaryota; Viridiplantae; Streptophyta; Magnoliopsida; Fabales; Fabaceae. The record is from RNAcentral.